GCCAGCAGCCAUAUCACCCUGUAGCCCAAGACUGGUUGCCCACUGAAGCUAAGCAGGGCUGAGCCUGGUCAGUACCUGGAUGGGAGACCUCCUGGGAAAACUAGGUUGCUGUUGGAA
RNAcentral lists this ribosomal RNA (117 nucleotides) under Sinocyclocheilus grahami. Lineage: Eukaryota; Metazoa; Chordata; Actinopteri; Cypriniformes; Cyprinidae. The record is from RNAcentral.